AUUGAACGCUGGCGGCAGGCCUAACACAUGCAAGUCGAGCGGAUGAAGGGAGCUUGCUCCUGGAUUCAGCGGCGGACGGGUGAGUAAUGCCUAGGAAUCUGCCUUGUAGUGGUGGAUAACGUCCGGAAACGGGCGCUAAUACCGCAUACGUCCUGAGGUAGAAAGUGUGGGAUCUUCGGACCUCACGCUCUCAGAUGAUCCUAGGUCGGAUUAGCUAGUUGGUGGGGUAAAGGCCUACCAAGGCGACGAUCCGUAACUGGUCUGAGAGGAUGAUCAGUCACACGGGAACUGAGACACGGUCCAGACUCCUACGGGAGGCAGCAGUGGGGAAUAUUGGACAAUGGGCGAAAGCAUGAUACAGCAAUGCCGCGUGUGUGAAGAAGGACUUCGGAUUGUAAAGCACUUUAAGUUGGGAGGAAGGGCAGUAAGUUAAUACCUUGCUGUUUUGACGUUACCAACAGAAUAAGCACCGGCUAACUUCGUG
RNAcentral lists this ribosomal RNA (484 nucleotides) under uncultured bacterium. RNAcentral's name for it is "partial 16S ribosomal RNA". It matches the Rfam family "Bacterial small subunit ribosomal RNA", at positions 30 to 507 of the family's 1533-position model. The record is from RNAcentral.